RNAcentral lists this long non-coding RNA (366 nucleotides) under Mytilus galloprovincialis (Mediterranean mussel). Lineage: Eukaryota; Metazoa; Mollusca; Bivalvia; Mytilida; Mytilidae. The record is from RNAcentral.
UGAACUAACUGUAUAUCUUUUAUUUUGCUACGUUCAAGAUCCAUAAUGCUGUAAGACCCAUACUUCGCAGUAUGACCUGGGGUACAACACCUUGCAUCACCACCAAUCUUAACUGGAGAUCCGUUGUUUUGAAUUUCAGUUAUAAGAUCUAGCUGUUUACAUUGCCAUACAUCUGUGAUUGUUGGUAGCAGGUAGGCAUUCGGUAGGGACAAAAGUGUUCUUUCAGAGAAACAACGUACUGAAGCAUGUCUGAAAAAUUUUAAUAUUUUGGAUAUGCUCCCUCCUGAAAAAGGCUGACUGUUCCAUCUUGUAAUUUCAGGACAUUUGCAUUUCAAAUUAAGUCACAGCAGUUCCUAUAACAUUAAA